This 1293-nucleotide ribosomal RNA is filed under the name Staphylococcus aureus. RNAcentral's name for it is "bacterial SSU rRNA". It matches the Rfam family "Bacterial small subunit ribosomal RNA", at positions 1 to 1275 of the family's 1533-position model. The record is from RNAcentral. Lineage: Bacteria; Bacillati; Bacillota; Bacilli; Caryophanales; Staphylococcaceae.
UUUAUGGAGAGUUUGAUCCUGGCUCAGGAUGAACGCUGGCGGCGUGCCUAAUACAUGCAAGUCGAGCGAACGGACGAGAAGCUUGCUUCUCUGAUGUUAGCGGCGGACGGGUGAGUAACACGUGGAUAACCUACCUAUAAGACUGGGAUAACUUCGGGAAACCGGAGCUAAUACCGGAUAAUAUUUUGAACCGCAUGGUUCAAAAGUGAAAGACGGUCUUGCUGUCACUUAUAGAUGGAUCCGCGCUGCAUUAGCUAGUUGGUAAGGUAACGGCUUACCAAGGCAACGAUGCAUAGCCGACCUGAGAGGGUGAUCGGCCACACUGGAACUGAGACACGGUCCAGACUCCUACGGGAGGCAGCAGUAGGGAAUCUUCCGCAAUGGGCGAAAGCCUGACGGAGCAACGCCGCGUGAGUGAUGAAGGUCUUCGGAUCGUAAAACUCUGUUAUUAGGGAAGAACAUAUGUGUAAGUAACUGUGCACAUCUUGACGGUACCUAAUCAGAAAGCCACGGCUAACUACGUGCCAGCAGCCGCGGUAAUACGUAGGUGGCAAGCGUUAUCCGGAAUUAUUGGGCGUAAAGCGCGCGUAGGCGGUUUUUUAAGUCUGAUGUGAAAGCCCACGGCUCAACCGUGGAGGGUCAUUGGAAACUGGAAAACUUGAGUGCAGAAGAGGAAAGUGGAAUUCCAUGUGUAGCGGUGAAAUGCGCAGAGAUAUGGAGGAACACCAGUGGCGAAGGCGACUUUCUGGUCUGUAACUGACGCUGAUGUGCGAAAGCGUGGGGAUCAAACAGGAUUAGAUACCCUGGUAGUCCACGCCGUAAACGAUGAGUGCUAAGUGUUAGGGGGUUUCCGCCCCUUAGUGCUGCAGCUAACGCAUUAAGCACUCCGCCUGGGGAGUACGACCGCAAGGUUGAAACUCAAAGGAAUUGACGGGGACCCGCACAAGCGGUGGAGCAUGUGGUUUAAUUCGAAGCAACGCGAAGAACCUUACCAAAUCUUGACAUCCUUUGACAACUCUAGAGAUAGAGCUUUCCCCUUCGGGGGACAAAGUGACAGGUGGUGCAUGGUUGUCGUCAGCUCGUGUCGUGAGAUGUUGGGUUAAGUCCCGCAACGAGCGCAACCCUUAAGCUUAGUUGCCAUCAUUAAGUUGGGCACUCUAAGUUGACUGCCGGUGACAAACCGGAGGAAGGUGGGGAUGACGUCAAAUCAUCAUGCCCCUUAUGAUUUGGGCUACACACGUGCUACAAUGGACAAUACAAAGGGCAGCGAAACCGCGAGGUCAAGCAAAUCCC